AACGAACGCUGGCGGCAGGCUUAACACAUGCAAGUCGAACGCGUGUAGCAAUACACGAGUGGCGCACGGGUGAGUAACGCGUGGAUAUCUGCCUUUUGGUUCGGAAUAACUCCGGGAAACUGGAGCUAAUACCGGAUGGUUCCUUCGGGAUAAAGAUUUAUCGCCAAAAGAUGAGUCCGCAUACGAUUAGCUAGUUGGUGAGGUAAUGGCUCACCAAGGCGACGAUCGUUAGCUGGUCUGAGAGGACGAUCAGCCACACUGGGACUGAGACACGGCCCAGACUCCUACGGGAGGCAGCAGUGGGGAAUAUUGGACAAUGGGGGCAACCCUGAUCCAGCCAUGCCGCGUGAGUGAUGAAGGCCCUCGGGUUGUAAAGCUCUUUUGGCGGGGACGGUGAUGACGGUACCCGCAGAAUAAGCCCCGGCUAACUUCGUGCCAGCCGCCGCCGUAA
This 451-nucleotide ribosomal RNA is filed under the name uncultured bacterium. RNAcentral's name for it is "partial 16S ribosomal RNA". It matches the Rfam family "Bacterial small subunit ribosomal RNA", at positions 29 to 523 of the family's 1533-position model. The record is from RNAcentral.